This 253-nucleotide ribosomal RNA is filed under the name uncultured bacterium. RNAcentral describes it as "partial 16S ribosomal RNA". It matches the Rfam family "Bacterial small subunit ribosomal RNA", at positions 524 to 776 of the family's 1533-position model. The record is from RNAcentral.
CACGAACCGGGCAAACGUUAUUCGGUAUUACUGGGCUUAAAGGGUGCGUAGGCUGCGCUAUAAGUCGGGUGUGAAAUCCCUCAGCUCAACUGAGGAACUGCGCCCGAUACUGUAGUGCUUGAGGAGGAUAGAGGUGAGCGGAACUAGCAGUGGAGCGGUGAAAUGCGUUGAUAUUGCUGGGAACACCCGUGGCGAAAGCGGCUCACUGGGUCCUUUCUGACGCUGAGGCACUAAAGCUAGUGGAGCGAACGGG